Fukomys damarensis (Damara mole-rat) is the source of this 320-nucleotide non-coding RNA. The record is from Rfam. NCBI's taxonomy places the organism in Eukaryota, Metazoa, Chordata, Mammalia, Rodentia, Bathyergidae.
GGACGUGAGGAUGAUCCGGCUGUGACAUGUCAUCCCAUUGAUCACCAGGGUUGAUCUGGUUGAUCUGACUGACUAGGUAGGUGUUCCCCUUCCUCCCUCACUGCUCCGUGUCCAUCGCUCCCUGAAGCUGAGCACUGGUCGAAGUGGACGACCGCCCCCGAUAGAGGAGGACUGUUUCCUUGGUCCAAAUUAUAUGUAUAGCUGCGUUCCCCUGCUAGAAUCUCCAAACAAGCUCUUAAAAAGUUAUCAAACCUAAAACAAUAAAGAAAAUUAUUUAGAUAGAUGCAGAAGCAGAAGGAUCUUCUGUAAGAUGUUUCUCU